This 1372-nucleotide ribosomal RNA is filed under the name uncultured bacterium. RNAcentral describes it as "bacterial SSU rRNA". It matches the Rfam family "Bacterial small subunit ribosomal RNA". The record is from RNAcentral.
AGAGUUUGAUCCUGGCUCAGGAUGAACGUUGGCGGCGUGCCUAAGGUAUGCAAGUCGAACGCCCGCUUCGGCGGGAGUGGCGAACGGCUGAGUAACGCGUAGGAACUUUCCCUUAAGUCAAGGAUAGCUACUCGAAAGGGUAAUUAAUCCUGGAUAGUCCCCUCCUUUGUUUACAAAGGUGGGGUAAAGGCUUCGGCCGCUUGAGGAUAGGCCUGCGUCCUAUCAGGUUGUUGGUGAGGUAAAGGCUCACCAAGCCUAUGACGGGUAGCUGGUCUGAGAGGAUGACCAGCCAGAAUGGGACUGCGACACGGCCCAUACUCCUACGGGAGGCAGCAAUUAGGAAUCUUGCGCAAUGGACGAAAGUCUGACGCAGCGACGCCGCGUGGAGGAUGAAGGCCUUCGGGUUGUAAACUCCUUUUAUGUGGGAACAAGUUCUGAGGGUACCACAUGAAUAAGGCCCCCCUAACUACGUGCCAGAAGGGUCGGUGAUGCGUAGGGGCCAAACGUUGUCCGGAAUUACUGGGCGUAAAGAGAUGCGUAGGCGUCUUUGUAAGUCUAAUGUGAAAGCCCGAGGCUUAACUUCGGAAUUGCAUUAGAAACUAUAAGGAUUGAGUCAGUCAGAGGAAAGCGGAAUUCCUGGUGUAGCGGUGAAAUGCGUUGAUAUCAGGAGGAACACCGAUGGCGAAGGCAGCUUUCUGGGACUAGACUGACGCUAAGGCUCGAAAGCGUGGGGAGCAAAACGGAUUAGAUACCCGUGUAGUCCACGCUGUAAACGAUCCCUACUAGAUGUAUGGUCUGAAUCUGAAUGGGACUUAGGUUUAUUCGAAUUCAGGUUGUGUGUCGCAGCUAACGCGUUAAGUAGGGCGCCUGGGGAGUACGGCCGCAAGGCUAAAACUCAAAGGAAUUGACGGGGACCCGCACAAGCAGUGGAGCGUUUGGUUUAAUUCGAUGCUAAGCGAAGAACCUUACCAGGGCUUGAACUGUAGCUGUACCCCUGACGAAAAUCGGGGGGUCUUCGAGAUCGCUACAGAGGUGCUGCAUGGCUCUCGUCAGCUCGUGUCGUGAGAUGUUGGGUUAAGUCCCGCAACGAGCGCAACCCCUACCCAGUGUUAUAAUUUCUCUGGGGACUGCCUUGCCAAAACGAGGAGGAAGGUGGGGACGACGUCUAGUCAUCAUGUCCCUUAUGUCCUGGGCUACACAAGCGCUACAAUGGCCACUACAGAGGGUUGCCAAGCCGCAAGGUGGAGCUAAUCCCAAAAAAGUGGUCUCAGUUCGGAUUGUCGGCUGAAAUUCGCCGGCAUGAAGUUGGAAUUGCUAGUAAUCGCAGAUCAGCAUGCUGCGGUGAAUACGUUCUCGGGCCUUGCACACACCG